CUCUGGGGCAGAUGGACAACAUUCCUCCUGCUGUCCAGGUCUAGGAAUUGUAUUCGAGCCCUAACAGCAGCUGACAGAAGCCCCUCCCUUCCCUGGAAUGCCUCAGCCCAGCAGAAGGAGCAGUGCCACGUCAGCCAAUCGGCUCAGGCUCUGCCUUGGAAACACCUGUUGAUCCUCCUCCCCUUCCCCCACCUCAGCUCACCUAGGUGCAGGUUAGGCAGGUGAAGCACCUCCCCGGAAACGGAGCUGGAGUGCCCCACCUGCCAGCCCUGACUGCUCGGGAUCGGAUCCAACAACUCCAGGCUUCUUGAGCCAGCGGUGACAGCUGAGACCAUGUGAGUCAGAUCCUGAAUGAGGCUUUAUCUGCGCGUCUUCAUCCAGUCCCGUCGUCCACCGUGACACCAGCCCCAUCAGCCAGCCGGAAUGCGCCAGGCAACUGAGACAGCGAGAGCCAGAGAGGUGAUGGUGACCAGACCCUGGACCAUGCGCGGAAUGGGACUCUGGGCCUCUAGCUGCCACGCAGGCGGUGGGGGAUCCAGGCCGUGACCUGCAGCUCUGCCCCUGACGCUGCCCUCCGCCC
RNAcentral lists this long non-coding RNA (580 nucleotides) under Moschus moschiferus (Siberian musk deer). Its description in RNAcentral is "lncRNA (ENSMMSG00000011020.1)". Lineage: Eukaryota; Metazoa; Chordata; Mammalia; Artiodactyla; Moschidae. The record is from RNAcentral.